AGGACAAACGUUGGCGGUGCGUCUUAGACAUGCAAGUCGAGCGUGAAAGCCCGCAAGGGUGAGUAAAGCGGCGAACGGGUGAGUAAUACUUGGGUAACGUCCCUUCAAGAUUGGGAUAACGCGCCGAAAGGCGUGCUAAUACCGGAUAAGACCACGACUCCUUCGGGGGUUGGGGUCAAAGAUGGCCUCUAUUUAUAAGCUAUCACUUGAAGAUCGGCUCAAGCACCAUUAGCUAGUUGGCGGGGUAAUGGCCCACCAAGGCUACGAUGGUUAGCCGGCCUGAGAGGGUGAUCGGCCACACUGGGACUGAGAUACGGCCCAGACUCCUACGGGAGGCAGCAGUUUGGAAUAUUCCACAAUGGGCGAAAGCCUGAUGGAGCGACACCGCGUGAAGGAUGAAGGUCUUCGGGUUGUAAACCCCUUUCAGCAGGGACGAAGCGAAGUGACGGUACCUGCAGAAGAGCGCCGGCUAACGUACGUGCCAGCAGCCGC
Molecule: ribosomal RNA, 492 nt
Filed under: uncultured bacterium
Lineage: Bacteria
Description: SSU rRNA
Rfam family: Bacterial small subunit ribosomal RNA
Source: RNAcentral